CAGCCGAUCUUCUCAUCUCCGCCACCACCAGUACGUAACCAUUUUUGCAGCAAAAGAAAAACCCUUCUCUCUGUCGUGUAUUGGCAUCGCAAAAACGUCGACAAACUGCCGAUUUCACAUAAGAAUUUUUGAAUUGAAAUUUUCACAAAAUUCUCUACACUCCGUUUUUUUCCGAUCUAAAAUCUUAUGGGCACCAACAUAAUAGAUAUUAGCUUCAAUUUUUGUUGGGUGUUAAAGAGUUGAUGAAGGAGUUUCGAAAGGGGAGAUAGUUUAUUCAUAGUACCAUGGGAGUGGUUAUAUAUUGAGAAAAGCAUUUGAUUUGAUCUCUACAGGUAAGGGUGAAUUUCAGCAAUAAAAACAAUUUAUCUACUGUCUAAAUCUUAAGUGAUUUGUUUGGAUGAAUUGUUUAUUCCAUUUUAUUUGCCCAUGGGUACCUCUAAAAAAAGGAAUUGACCAUGCCAUUGGUAGGUUUGAGUUUGUAAUGCAUCUUAGUAUAUUACGUCGGAAUUCUAAUUGUUGGUAUCUGCAGUUUUUGUGUGCUAAUUGGCUCAUUCUCAGGCUCCAAAUGGACUGGAAAAUAUCAUGAUUUAGCAUAUGAAUUUUUGCUCAAGCUUAUGUUUUGUAUGAAGAAGAAUUUGUGGUAAACUCUACAACUUCCUCUUAUUCAUACGUGUCUACAUAGUACCAUAUAAAUUUUUUAUUUGGUUUCACAUAUUAUUUUUGCACUCAUUCGUGAAUUACUUAUUUGCAGGAUUCAAGAGCUUGAAGUGACUUCCAUUUACCCAAUAAUAGG
This 793-nucleotide long non-coding RNA is filed under the name Erythranthe guttata (spotted monkey flower). Its description in RNAcentral is "long non-coding RNA (EGUT_LNC000191)". Lineage: Eukaryota; Viridiplantae; Streptophyta; Magnoliopsida; Lamiales; Phrymaceae. The record is from RNAcentral.